RNAcentral lists this ribosomal RNA (495 nucleotides) under uncultured bacterium. RNAcentral's name for it is "partial 16S ribosomal RNA". It matches the Rfam family "Bacterial small subunit ribosomal RNA", at positions 28 to 507 of the family's 1533-position model. The record is from RNAcentral.
GAUGAACGCUGGCGGCGUGCCUAAUACAUGCAAGUAGAACGCUGAAGGAGGAGCUUGCUCUUCUGGAUGAGUUGCGAACGGGUGAGUAACGCGUAGGUAACCUGCCUGGUAGCGGGGGAUAACUAUUGGAAACGAUAGCUAAUACCGCAUGACAACAGUUAUUGCAUGAUAACUGUUUAAAAGGGGCAACUGCUCCACUACCAGAUGGACCUGCGUUGUAUUAGCUAGUUGGUGAGGUAACGGCUCACCAAGGCGACGAUACAUAGCCGACCUGAGAGGGUGAUCGGCCACACUGGGACUGAGACACGGCCCAGACUCCUACGGGAGGCAGCAGUAGGGAAUCUUCGGCAAUGGACGGAAGUCUGACCGAGCAACGCCGCGUGAGUGAAGAAGGGUUUCGGAUCGUAAAGCUCUGUUGUAAGAGAAGAACGAGUGUGAGAGUGGAAAGUUCACACUGUGACGGUAGCUUAACAGAAAGGGACGGCUAACUACGUG